GUUUGUUCCUGUUUGACUUGGAGUGACUUCUGAGGCUGAUCCGUCAAGUAACAAGCAACACCUCUGCCUCCCCAGAUCCUAGCGGCGACUGAGUAAAAGUUGGGGCGUACUGCACCCACAGGGGUUCCCGUGUCUCCUGGUCUCCGCUCUCUGCCGGGCCGGCCUGGCCUGGCCUGUGUCGA
This is a non-coding RNA of Paralichthys olivaceus (Japanese flounder), 182 nucleotides long. The record is from RefSeq and is a predicted model, not a curated record. NCBI's taxonomy places the organism in Eukaryota, Metazoa, Chordata, Actinopteri, Pleuronectiformes, Paralichthyidae.